UACGAAGGGGGCUAGCGUUGCUCGGAAUCACUGGGCGUAAAGGGUGCGUAGGCGGGCCUUUAAGUCCGGGGUGAAAUCCUGGAGCUCAACUCCAGAACUGCCUUUGAUACUGAGGAUCUUGAGUUCGGGAGAGGUGAGUGGAACUGCGAGUGUAGAGGUGAAAUUCGUAGAUAUUCGGAAGAACACCAGUGGCGAAGGCGACUUACUGGACACAUAUUGACGCUGAGGUGCGAAAGCGUGGGGAGCAAACAGG
Molecule: ribosomal RNA, 253 nt
Filed under: uncultured bacterium
Lineage: Bacteria
Description: partial 16S ribosomal RNA
Rfam family: Bacterial small subunit ribosomal RNA
Source: RNAcentral